CUUGCAUGUUUACAUUUCUCUCAGCAUUAACAUUUCAGGGCUAUUUAACAAGUUAUGUGAAAUAUGUAACAUGACCUUUAACACAUAUUAAAUGAACAGUAUAAUACAAUAUAAUAAUGUCACAACAAAUGACACAAGAAUAUAAAAAUAAUCUACUUCUCACAUAUCAACCCCCCCUGUUGCCUCAAAAGUCAGGGGUGAAGCAGUGCAUAGGAGCUUUUCUUGUCAUCCUAUUUAUUCGUUUUUGGGAACUGUUCCUCAUGCUUGGCAAAAGUAUACACAAG
Molecule: non-coding RNA, 284 nt
Organism: Pelobates cultripes (western spadefoot toad)
Lineage: Eukaryota; Metazoa; Chordata; Amphibia; Anura; Pelobatidae
Source: the annotation of a GenBank genome assembly